CGAGUGAAGCGGCACAGCUCAAAUUUGAAAUCUGGCGCUUGCGUCCGAGUUGUAAUUUGUAGAGGAUGCUUUUGGCGCGGUGCCUUCCGAGUUCCCUGGAACGGGACGCCAUAGAGGGUGAGAGCCCCGUACGGUUGGACACUAAGCCUCUGUAAAGCUCCUUCGACGAGUCGAGUAGUUUGGGAAUGCUGCUCUAAAUGGGAGGUAUAUUUCUUCUAAAGCUAAAUACCGGCCAGAGACCGAUAGCGCACAAGUAGAGUGAUCGAAAGAUGAAAAGCACUUUGAAAAGAGGGUUAAAUAGCACGUGAAAUUGUUGAAAGGGAAGGGUUUGUGACCAGACUUGUGCCUGGCGGAUCAUCCGGUGUUCUCACCGGUGCACUUCGCUUGGUUCAGGCCAGCAUCGGUUUUCGUAGGGGGAUAAAGGCUGCGGGAAUGUGGCUCUCUUCGGGGAGUGUUAUAGCCCACUGCGUAAUACCCUUAUGGGGACCGAGGUUCGCGCUUCUGCAAGGAUGCUGGCGUAAUGGUCAUCAACCACCCGUCUUGAAACACGGACCAAGGAGUCGAACAUUUGUGCGAGUGUUUGGGUGUUAAACCCUCACGCGUAAUGAAAGUGAACGGAGGUGAGAGCCUUUUUGGUGCAUCAUCGACCGAUCCUGAUGUCUUCGGAUGGAUUUGAGUAAGAGCAUAAAUGUCCGGACCCGAAAGAUGGUGAACUAUGCGUGGAUAGGGUGAAGCCAGAGGAAACUCUGGUGGAGGCUCGCAGCGGUUCUGACGUGCAAAUCGAUCGUCAAAUCUGCGCAUGGGGGCGAAAGACUAAUCGAACCAUCUAGUAGCUGGUUACCGCCGAAGUUUCCCUCAGGAUAGCAGUGUUGUUCUUCAGUUUUAUGAGGUAAAGCGAAUGAUUAGGGACUCGGGGGCGCUUUUUAGCCUUCAUCCAUUCUCAAACUUUAAAUAUGUAAGAAGCC
This 965-nucleotide ribosomal RNA is filed under the name Leptosillia sp. 4 MK-2023. Its description in RNAcentral is "partial large subunit ribosomal RNA". It matches the Rfam family "Eukaryotic large subunit ribosomal RNA", at positions 90 to 1082 of the family's 3401-position model. The record is from RNAcentral. Lineage: Eukaryota; Fungi; Ascomycota; Sordariomycetes; Xylariales; Leptosilliaceae.